Long non-coding RNA from Apteryx rowi (Okarito brown kiwi), 2609 nucleotides. NCBI's taxonomy places the organism in Eukaryota, Metazoa, Chordata, Aves, Apterygiformes, Apterygidae. The record is from Ensembl.
CAAUAAAUAGCUGAGAGCGAGGGAAACUGAGAGGAGACAUGGGAGAAGCUGGUUGCUCUCCACGGAGAUUCGUGGUGACCUGGCAGAUCACUGCAGUGCCUGGGGGGAAGGAUUUACAGCCGGGAAAGCUGCCCCUCGCCCGGUCUGUGGGAGACAGCACGCGGGGGCAAGUCAUUAUCUGCUGCAGUCUGCGCACUGAAAUGCAACGUAGGCAGCAGAGGACAGUGAAGUGUGGAGGGAAUGAACACAAUUCAUCAGGACUCCUACGUCGGUGAGAAGAUCAGCAAAGCCCUUCUGCCACCAGGGAUUUUAGCACGCGGGCAGGGCAUGAGGUCCUGCGGCGAGACCCACAACUCCCAGCUUUGCAGAAGAGGUUUGGGCUGGACCUGCCGCAGCCAUGCCUGAGCAAGAGGCAGCUUGCCACGCAAGCAACACCAGCCCCCUGACCCACCGGGGACCUUCCAGGGGAACACUGCUCUCUGGGCUUUCAGAUGGCUGAGCCCUUCAGGCUGGCAGUAAAAUUGCCAUGACCACCAAGAGAUUUAAGGUCUUAAAGACCAGAUUUCUAAAGGCACUUAGAUCAGAACCCUACUGAGAUAUGAAAGACAUGUAAGAUAGCCAACUGAGUCCCACUAUGUAUCUUACUUCUUUGGGUGACAGAUAGUAUUUGGGAGGACAUCUAUCUGUUGCUCGCUCCUGCAAACUUGGCCCUAAGUCUUAUUAAAAGUUAGCAGAACUCUAAGCUGCUUGGACACUAAAGCAGCUGUGUACUUGUAACAUCAUAGGUGUCCUGCACCCAGGUUUUCCCACACGUUUCCUCACUUCCCAGGCACAUUAGCUCAACACCAGGCUCUGGAUAUCUGAAAAGCCAUGUGCACAGUCUACACUUGCUACAUACAUGGCUUACCUGCAAGAUUCAUGGCAUGUACAGCAAACACUAUGUUUCUAUUUCUUCAUGGAAAAUUCCAGUGAGUGAUAUGGCAAGUCUAGCUUUUGAUAUUAAAAAAAAAUGAAAGUUUAAUAAGAUAAAACACUGAUGAGGAAAGCUCUGUGAUUUCUUUUAAGCACCAUCCUACGCAAGUGCCCUUUUUUGGUGGGACAUGAAAUCACGUAUUCUGUAUACAUGUAUUCUGUAUACACUCUGCCACUUGUUCUCCACCUCCUUUAAGUAUUUAGAGACACAUAAGGCCUAUGCAACAGACUUCCACAGAAGACCAAAUGAAUCCAGACAAACCUUCUUUAGGAAAUAUUCCAAUGCUUUCCUCCAUGAAUUAAAUUUACCAUUUCAUUCAUGGUAUUUGUCAUAGAUUUUAGGCAGAAGAAUAUCUAUGCUGGGUAGCAGUAUGAAGUAGGCCGAUUAAGGACCAGUUUUCGUUGAGUGUUAAGGGAUAAGCAUCCUUCAGGUUCAUCGUAAAAUCCAAGUGAGAGCAAUUAUUGACAGGUAUUUAACACAAUUCUCACAUUAGUUCAAUGCUUAUUAUAAUACUUUACUUUAUGUACUUUAUUUCUCACCUUUUAUUGUUUAGUUCAAUUUUUGGCUUUUGCAUUUUUUGCCAUGACAGACACCAGACCUAAUCAUAAAUUCCCAAACUUUCUCCUUUCAGACUUAAAUUUGCCAGGGUUGGCCUCUCUCCAGGAGCAAGCAUGGCUCUUUUCAGUCUGAGAAACAGAGAAAGUUAAAAGAAAUACAGCUGGACACUUAAAAAAAGUCUUAUGACCCUGUAAAAACCAGCAACUUUACAAUCAAAAUAUCCAGGGAUCAAAGCUAAGUUUUUAUUUGAAAUAGUCCUCAUUAAAGAUAAGUUUUGCUACUAUCAUGAUAAGAAAUAGGUUUGAUUUGUUCAAUUUAUGACCCUGUGGAUAAUUUCAUGCUUCAGUGUUUCACUGAAGAGCUCUCCCAAGGCUCAGUAGAAGGUUUGUGCCAAAUCCUAGCAAGGGCUCUGAUAGACAAGCUCUUGCCAGCAUUGCUGUAAUAGUUUAAGAUGUUUUUGUCUUAUUCCCAACUUCUCUGCUUGCUUCUCUGCCACCUCUUCCAGAAGACUUUGUCCCCUGUGGCAGACACAACCAAGGACAACACAAGCAGGGUGGCUGAGGCACAGGUUUCUUAAACUACUGAUGAAGAUGAGUUUGAGCUAAGACACCAAAUUGUGAUUUGGUGAGAUUUCGACGCAGGCACCUGUCCAGCUCUGCUUGAGAGCUCUAACCUUCAGCAGAGGAGCACCAGCACGUAGCUGGGAGAAGGUAACAUCAAAACCAGCUGCAGUUGUUUGCCUCAUGAAUGUAAGUCAGAACCAUGAGUCCUUGAUCCUGCAAAUACUUAUGUGUAUAUUUAACUUUAUUACUGUGAGUAGUUCCAGAACUUCAGUGGGGCCUGAAGUUGCACUGGCACAUAAAUGCUUGCAAAAUAGGGGGCAUGCACUGGUAAUGGGUCUAGCUAAAAAAGCUUCAACUCACACAUAAGUCUAAGCAAUUCAUCUCUGCAGUGAAAUUGCACUCCAAUCUCAGGAAGUUAAAGAGAGUGCUUGUGCCUUUUUGGAAAUCAUACUAAAGGCAGCCUUGCUCUGACUUACUGGAAUAAAACAAAGUCCUCCAGCCUGGUUUAGGCCUCC